This 84-nucleotide non-coding RNA is filed under the name Pseudogulbenkiania sp. NH8B. RNAcentral's name for it is "Burkholderia RNA 7 (anti-hemB)". It matches the Rfam family "Burkholderia RNA 7 (anti-hemB)". Rfam says of the family: This RNA motif was identified by computational search in b-proteobacteria Burkholderia. Co-purified with Hfq, expression confirmed by Northern blot. Putative functional homologue of SP-RydB and predicted target hemB. The record is from Rfam by way of RNAcentral. Lineage: Bacteria; Pseudomonadati; Pseudomonadota; Betaproteobacteria; Neisseriales; Chromobacteriaceae.
CCUCCCGCUUGCCUCCCUGAGCGGGUGCCUUUUGCUGACACUAAAGGCUGUUUACCCCGGCACCCAGGUGCCGGGGUUUUUUAU